UGGGUCUUUGCGGGCGAGAUGAGAGGUUUGUGGAUUCAACUGGCCUACAAAGUCCCAGU
This 59-nucleotide microRNA precursor is filed under the name Chrysemys picta bellii (western painted turtle). Its description in RNAcentral is "Cpi-Mir-193-P1b_pre stem-loop". It matches the Rfam family "mir-193 microRNA precursor family", at positions 10 to 68 of the family's 76-position model. The record is from RNAcentral. Lineage: Eukaryota; Metazoa; Chordata; Testudines; Emydidae.